AAUUAGCUAAACAAAGAAAUCAUGGCGGAUUGUUUACAUUUGGCAGCGCCCGGGCUGCGCCGACCGCCGGCCCCGAGCCGCCGCAGGCCCCGAGGAGUCGGCCGAGCUGCCCCCGCGCCCUGGCCGGACAUUUGAAACUAUUACUUUGCUGAAAACGUCUGACUGUCAGUCUAGAAUUUGACGCUUAAGGGACUUACCAAUUUGGGCUUCUUCCAGGAGCUGAAAACCGAUUACAAAUAUGAAACAGAUUUCACUACUGGACUUGAAUGCUGCAUUAAAAAAAAAAAAAAAAAAAAAAAAAAAGCUCCUUAAAGUAAUUGAAAGAGAUCUUCACCAAAGAGUAACUGCAGUGUGAAUGGCAGGAUAUCAAGGAAGUAAGAG
Molecule: long non-coding RNA, 381 nt
Organism: Propithecus coquereli (Coquerel's sifaka)
Lineage: Eukaryota; Metazoa; Chordata; Mammalia; Primates; Indriidae
Exons: 3
Source: RefSeq, a predicted model, not a curated record